UGUGCCAGAGGAUGGGGCUGCGGCCGAUCAGGCCGUUGGCGAGGUAACGGCUCACCAAACCUUUGACCGGUACGGGCCAUGAGAGUGGUAGCCCGGAGAUGGACACUGAGAUAGGGGUCCAGGCCCUACGGGGCGCAGCAGGCGCGAAAACUCCACACUGUACGUAAGUACGAUGGGGUUACCUCGAGUGUAGUCUGUAAAAGAUUGCUUUUCCAUAGAGUAAUAUCCUGUGGGAAUAAGAGGGGGGCAAGACUGGUGUCAGCCGCCGCGGUAACACCAGCCCCUCGAGUGGUAGGGACUUUUAUUUGGCCUAAAGCGUUCGUAGCCGUCUGUAACCGUUGCCCGUUAAAUCCAGCGUCUCAAGCGUUGGACUGCGGGCGAUACCUUACAGAUUGAGGGUGGGAUAGGUAAGCGGUAUUUCUGGGGUAGGGGCGAAAUCCUUUGAUCCCAGGAGGACCACCAGUGGCGAAGGCUGCUUACUAGAACACGCCUGACGGUCAGGAACGAAAGCUGGGGUAGCGAACCGGAUUAGAUACCCGGGUAGUCCCAGCUGUAAACGAUGCGCGCUAGGUGUUGGGUCGGCCAUGCGCCGCCCCAGUGCCGCAGGGAAGCCGUUAAGCGCGCCGCCUGGGGAGUACGGCCGCAAGGCUGAAACUUAAAGGAAUUGGCGGGGGAGCAC
Molecule: ribosomal RNA, 679 nt
Filed under: uncultured archaeon
Lineage: Archaea
Description: bacterial SSU rRNA
Rfam family: Archaeal small subunit ribosomal RNA
Source: RNAcentral